RNAcentral lists this small RNA (1254 nucleotides) under Rattus norvegicus (Norway rat). RNAcentral's name for it is "uncharacterized LOC102553460". Lineage: Eukaryota; Metazoa; Chordata; Mammalia; Rodentia; Muridae. The record is from RNAcentral.
UCCGCCCCGGGGGGCUCCGCUCACCGCCCUCGGGGGAGGGCGGAGAUGCCGGUGUCCGAGAGGAUGGGGAUGCCUAGGCCGUUUUGGGGCGGGGAGUGUGUCCGCCAGGUCUGGGACUGAGGUGCGGUCUUCUUAAACGCGCCCCCCCUCCCGCCGCCGUGGGCCCCAAACUUCGUCCUUCUCCCCGGCCUUGUACCCUCGGGCGACCACGGCAGUUUUGGGGUGGGGGAUGCCUCAGGAGCUGUGUCUACCCUGAUCAGGAGGAAGAGGGAGCAGUGACAUUCAGCGACUGCGGACAGGCAUCCUCGGGUGGGAGUGGGGAUGUCAGAUGCAGGCUUGGAGAGGGAAGCUGCCCCUCAGGAUGCCCUCUCCCGGCCUGCGGGAGGCUGGCGAGCUCGGAGCUGCGAUCUGGGUGCUUCCUAGACUGUGCAGCUGGAUGGCAAAGGGGCAGGGGGUUGGGCUGGGGGCGACCGCUGGGGGGCCCUUUCCUCGUCUCCAACCAGCGCUGUAAAGAAAGCUGAUGGCGAAGUUCGGUUUUCCAGGCUUCCCCUGGGCCCCCGGAGUUCCUGAGGCCCAUACGAGGGAGGCCGGGGGAUCCUCUGGCCGCCUAGGCAAGGCUACUCGAAAGCUGCCCACAUGCCUUGCAGCGCCCUCCGGACUCUGGAGAAAACGUCCCUACUCUCCCCAGAGUUAGGUGGGAUGCUGCAUGGACUUCACUGCAUCUCUCUCUGGUUGACCUCCAAUUCCAAAAUCUGCCUGCUUCAGCCUCCAGGAACUGAGAUAACACCAGCCUGCUCAUCCCUUACUCUAUGGAGGUGCCCUGAAGCAAUUCCUACAUGAUUCUUACACAUGCCACAUUUAGAAUCAUCUGAGGAGUGUUAGCCCAACCUUUGCCCUAAGUCUCUCCUGAAGCUAAGUAAAUCUGGAGAAUGGAGCGUAAAAGGGUGAAGUUCGGUGAAGAAGCUGCUGACCUGAGUGACGAGAUGCUUGGCUGCACGGGUGUCCUGUGGCUGAGGAGGGAAGCUUAGAGCCUGUGUCAUCAACUCUGUGAAAACAUGGGACACUGCCAGACAUAGAUGCACAUUGUCUGAGAAGGCUGGCCUCUAACUCAACGAUUGUGUAGACAACAGAAUAUCCAUAUCUAGAUUAUAUGUGUAAAGAACUUAUAAAAAUCAGUUAUGUUUUGUUUCUUGGUUUGUUUGGCUUUUUUCCGAUUGGUGUUAAUACUAUAGCCCAAAAAAAAAAAAAAAAAAA